Caenorhabditis elegans is the source of this 115-nucleotide non-coding RNA. NCBI's taxonomy places the organism in Eukaryota, Metazoa, Nematoda, Chromadorea, Rhabditida, Rhabditidae. The record is from Ensembl.
UCGAACUUCGUUCGAUACUCUUUUUCUAUCCUGAAAUUGGAAUAAAGCUUGCGAAGAAUUUUGAGAGAAGUUCGGAGAAAAAACAACGAGAAAUGAAAAAAAAGGAAACGUUAAG